GUGCUCACUUCAGCAGCACAUACACUAAAAUUGGAAGGAUACAGAGAAAUUAGCAUGGCCUCUGCACAAGGAUGACAUGCAAAUUUAUAAAGUGUUCCAUGCUGUG
RNAcentral lists this small nuclear RNA (106 nucleotides) under Peromyscus maniculatus bairdii (prairie deer mouse). Lineage: Eukaryota; Metazoa; Chordata; Mammalia; Rodentia; Cricetidae. The record is from RNAcentral. RNAcentral also lists the same sequence under 1 other name.